CCUUCGAUAGCUCAGUUGGUAGAGCGGUGGACUGUAGAGGACGUUCUUGUAGGCAUCCAUAGGUCGCUGGUUCAAAUCCGGCUCGAAGGA
Molecule: transfer RNA, 90 nt
Filed under: Tribolium castaneum (red flour beetle)
Lineage: Eukaryota; Metazoa; Arthropoda; Insecta; Coleoptera; Tenebrionidae
Rfam family: tRNA
About the family: Transfer RNA (tRNA) molecules are approximately 80 nucleotides in length. Their secondary structure includes four short double-helical elements and three loops (D, anti-codon, and T loops).
Source: Rfam by way of RNAcentral